Long non-coding RNA from Ornithodoros turicata, 3521 nucleotides. RefSeq lists it as uncharacterized. The transcript has 3 exons. NCBI's taxonomy places the organism in Eukaryota, Metazoa, Arthropoda, Arachnida, Ixodida, Argasidae. The record is from RefSeq and is a predicted model, not a curated record.
UAGUCAAAUUUUGUAGCCCACCUAGCAGUGCCUAUCUAGCAAAACAAUUGCUAGAUACGCUAGCUAGCGUAUUUAGCAUCAACAAACAAGACCGCCCCCGUCCCCGCCCCAUCCCGCUCUUGCGAAUGUUAAUUAGGGCUAAACCACGUGAGCGCCAGCCCACAGAUACCGACCUCACUGUAUCAUCUGAGGAAUUAACCACGUGGGCACCAGCCCACUUUCACGACUCUAUCUGGUAAGCCAUCCCUGCAACAUGCCUUUCUUAAUAUUAUAAUUAGGUGCACGCCCUACUGUGUUGGAGUAAACCACGUCAGAGUGAUACCGACCUCACUGUGUCAUCUGAGGAAUUAACCACGUGGGCACCAGCCCCCAUAUCGUAAGCCAGCCUCCAGCAAGUCCCUCGCACGCGCAACACGCGCUUCUUAUUAUAAUUAGGUUGCAUGCCUACUGUAGAUUAGAAGGAACUACAUAAAAGCACAGUUGCAAGAUCGUAUUUUAAUUAUGACUGAACUACCCCCCAGUCCCACUACAGCAGCACCCCAUCAUCUCACGAAGGUUGAACCAGCCCACGAAGCUGUCGUUAUACUUCUUAAUAAGUUUACCUCCACCCUCUCGCAGAUUUUAAACCUGACCAGUUGUGGCUGACCACGUGGGGGCACCAACCCCUUUGCUUGCCUGUAGGAUGCACUCACUGAAUGUCAUCUUAAUUGUGUAGUUCCAUCAGAAUGAUAUACCUCUUGUUUUAAACAAACUACGUUAACAAUGAAUAAUUAGCUUAGUUAUGAAAUCAGAAAUGUGCCAUAACCGUUCAUCCAUCUAAGGAUCUUAGUAAAAUGAAAUAAUAAUAAGAUUACGAACAUUAAUUCUUUAUGGAUAGUUGCACAAUUCUUACUCGAUCCUGCAAAAGCGUAUACGAAGAGGGGAGUCAAGUCCUGUAGGUCCCAUAAACAAAUACAGAGGAAGCGUGGACCUCCACGCGAAAGCUUGUACAAAUUAAACUUAAACAAAAAUCUUCAGUGUCGGCUUCUGUAUUUUGUUUAUUGGAUCCCUGCAAGGAUAAAACGAUAGCUCGAUUCGUACAUGGCACAACAUUGUUCAAAUAUUUUUUUUCUUAUUACGUUUUAAAGUCGACAAGUAGGACACCUCGCUAUCGUCUACCUAAUGGAAAUGGUUGAUGAGCCAAUCGACUCCUUCCGAAGUGCGAGGAGACAGUAUAUACUUAAACUUCAGAGCGCUAAGAGCGUAACCGGAAAUAAAAAAAAAAGCCUACAGCUCUGACCUUCGACAACCGAUCGAAAAAAGAAAAAUGCACCGGCCCCCCCGCCACAACAUCGUUGCGAAUUGCAAGGAUAUGGCAUAGCUAGUAUUGAGAAGUGAUUAUGGACAGGGUGCUAAGGGCGUGUAACCGACAAAAGGCUUACCGCUUCGAAAUUCGACAUCCGACGCAUCAUGGGGGAACAUCAUGAUAUUCAUUGUAGAGAUUUCAUUAAACAUGCUUGGACUUGCAGUCGACCAGGCUACCUCUCCCCAUUAAUCCGUUUUUGUGUACGACACGGAUUAACUCUCGAGAAAUGAUAAGAUCACUUUUCCGUAUUCCAUUAAGAUGUUGUUGUGUUAGCGACGCUUUGCAUAUUAGACGACGGGAUGGCUGAAGGUCACGCUGUUUCCACUCAGACUGUGAUAUCUCUUCUGCUGAUUUGCAUGAGUACACGAGCAAGUCGAAUAAACGCUCGAAGAUACACGAUGUUAUUGCAAUAGCAAGCAUUUGCAUAUAAGACAACUCGUUGGAUAAAGGUCGUACCUUUUUACUCUAGCCGGUGUCGCCUUUGCAACUCGAAAACAGGAAAAAUAAUUACUAUGCGAUACAUGUUGCGCCGCAGGAAAAAGAAGAAGAAAAAAAGACGCAGUAUACUAAUGACAGCCACCUCCAUGCUGACUGCUUUGACUUCUGAACAGAGCGAGCCAGCCCGGGUAAAGCCGUAAUUACCUCUCAAGGAUAAACGAUAAUAUCACUUUCCUCAUCACGUCUUUGGGGCGAGACGGUCGACGCUGCACUCUCAUAGGCAAACGAAGCGACUUCUAUAUAAGACGGUUCGUCCGCAACGCUUUCCGGACUGAGCUGGAAUGUCAAGUGAAUGCCACUUGAUUGUUUUCAGGUGGAUUCACUUGACAUUCCAGCUCAGGUUUUUCCGUGCGGGUGUUUGACUGGAAAAGCAGACUAAGGUGAGUACAUGCUUUUUUAUCUUCUCUUGUUAUAAGUUCUUCCCCUGUGAGCGUGCAAGGUCACAGCCAUUUAUGGAAUGCAUGUAGGUGAAAGAAAAAAAGAAAAGAGGUUCAUUCCUUCCCGCUGCCGACAUGCAAUCUUUGUGAUUUUAAAGUGCACCUUCUUAGAUCAUCGCAGUAGAUGAAAUGAAAAAAUAAACGAUUGCAAACAGUACAACAUUAUUUUUUUUAUUUAGGACAUUGCAUUGCGUUGUAUGUUUUGGAGGACAUUGCUAAUUUACAAGUCGGCUUCACCUAACUUCUACGUGCGUUGCGGGAAGUCAACGUUAGGAAAUGCUCAGUCUUGCUGGAUUGCUUGUUUCUUUGCAUUUCAAUUCAGCGGAACGGUGUUUUUUUAAAUUGUUUGACUUUGGUUCUUCAUAAAACAUAUUUUCCAGUUCAUCGUCUUUGUUGUAACUACUCCGACGAGGUUGAAGGGUCAUCUCACAUUUUGGGCUUGUAAGAUCGACUUCUUCUAAGCAUUUUUUUUAGCUUCUCUUUUUCAUUUCAUGUUCGGGUAACAACAGAACACUUCACCUGCACGUCAAUGGCAAACAGGUCAGAAAGAAAGGAAUGUGUCUACCUUCAUUUGUGAGAUGUAGCUAGUCUUCACCCAACUCCUACGUGCAUUGGGGGAAAGCCUACUUUAGGAAAUGUUCAGUCUUGUUACUGCAUGUUUCUUUGCAUUUAAACUUAGCGAAACGGUGUUUUUUUUAUCGUUUGAUUUUGCUUUGACAUAAAACAUAUUUUCCAGUUCAUCUUCCUUCUUUUGCUGUAACUACUCCGAAGAGGUUGAAGGGAAGAGUUUGACAUCUUCCUUGACAACAAGGCAAAAAUGUGUGCUAUACAAUGGAGAAGAGGUGGAAAACUUUUUUUUUUCAAGUUAAUCCACUCGGGAUUCCAGAUGAAGAUUUUUUUUCUCCGUGAGAGUGUUUGACUGGAAAGACAGACUGUGGAGACGUGUUUGAGACGACACACAGGCUGCAUCCGAAAUUCGUGUGUGUAACCUCUUCUCCAUCUGCCACACACAUCUCUACCUAGCACAGGCUGCUCUUCAUCUGCGUCUGAUGAUGACAACCAUGCGCCAUCAAGCCGAGGAUCAACCUCAGGCCAUGUUGUGUCAUCGGCGGCUGACUUGUCUUGACUGGUCAUUACAAACCAAGUUCAUUCUAUACAGCAAGAGGAGAAAGCAAAUUGUCAUCAUAACAGCGAAGCCUCCAUAACACAAGUAAGCUAUGUCAUCCGUCAUGGAAAAGUUG